GGGCGCUUGGCGCAGCGGUAGCGCGUAUGCUUUGCACGUGGCACGUAAUAUGCAUAAGGUCAAGGGUUCAAACCCCUUAGCGUCCA
Obba rivulosa is the source of this 86-nucleotide non-coding RNA. The record is from the annotation of a GenBank genome assembly. Lineage: Eukaryota; Fungi; Basidiomycota; Agaricomycetes; Polyporales; Gelatoporiaceae.